UGUUCAGACAAAAACUGAAAGACUGGAAGUAGAUCUGAAGAGAGCAAGGGACCAGAGUUAUAUAAAGACAAUGGAAAUGUCAAAACUGUUGGCAGAAAAAGAGGAGCUGGAGUUAAAAUUCAGGAGCUUAUAAAUAAGACUCUCCAAUUGGCCAAAGAAAAAGAGGAACUCUGCGAAGAGUAUGAAGAAAAGCUGAGCA
Pantherophis guttatus is the source of this 199-nucleotide long non-coding RNA. RefSeq lists it as uncharacterized. Lineage: Eukaryota; Metazoa; Chordata; Lepidosauria; Squamata; Colubridae. The record is from RefSeq and is a predicted model, not a curated record.